GUGGGGAAUAUUGCACAAUGGAGGAAACUCUGAUGCAGCGACGCCGCGUGAGUGAAGAAGUAUUUCGGUAUGUAAAGCUCUAUCAGCAGGAAAGAAAAUGACGGUACCUGACUAAGAAGCCCCGGCUAACUACGUGCCAGCAGCCGCGGUAAUACGUAGGGGGCAAGCGUUAUCCGGAUUUACUGGGUGUAAAGGGAGCGUAGACGGUUUGGCAAGUCUGAAGUGAAAGCUCGGGGCUCAACCCCGGAACUGCUUUGGAAACUGUCGAACUGGAGUGCAGGAGAGGUAAGCGGAAUUCCUAGUGUAGCGGUGAAAUGCGUAGAUAUUAGGAGGAACACCAGAGGCGAAGGCGGCUUACUGGACUGUAACUGACGUUGAGGCUCGAAGGCGUGGGGAGCAAACAGG
This 405-nucleotide ribosomal RNA is filed under the name uncultured rumen bacterium. Its description in RNAcentral is "bacterial SSU rRNA". It matches the Rfam family "Bacterial small subunit ribosomal RNA", at positions 354 to 776 of the family's 1533-position model. The record is from RNAcentral.